This is a non-coding RNA of Sus scrofa (pig), 1101 nucleotides long. The record is from RefSeq and is a predicted model, not a curated record. Lineage: Eukaryota; Metazoa; Chordata; Mammalia; Artiodactyla; Suidae.
GAGACAGAGCACAAAGGAGAGAAAAAAGCAAGAGUGGUUGAGACGCCUAGGGUGGGGGGAGGGGAGCACAAGCCCACAGAUUAAGUUGACCCAAGUCAAUACAGAGGCUUUGUGCAAGGGCCCUGGCAUUAACGGGAUUGGGGCUGCGACAGCCCUGCGAAUCAAGUACAGAACAUAACCAUAGAGGCCGGAGCUAUUUUUGAAACGGAUGUCUUCAGUAACAUGAAGCUUAACUAACGGGGACAUCCAGGGCAUUCUGCGUGACUGCUGCCGGCUGGUGGCCCGGCUGGGAACCAGAGCCGCCCCACUAGCAGCAGCCUCCCACCUGGUUCGGGACCCUUGAGGUUUUCUGGUCUCCACGGGGACUGAAGUUGAACUCAGAUAUACAUAGGAGAAGAAGGAACUUAAGUCCUGAAACCAGAGGAUGGCUUCUUGGCUACUCCAGCAGAAAUUAAAUGAGCCAUCCCCAAAAGCGCAAGAAAAUGCCCCAGAAAAGGAGGAUACUGACGAUACAGGAUUAGACUCAGUCCUACAUACAGAAACACCCAUGGGCUGCAUGAUCACGCAUAAACUCUGAGCAAAAUGCGUGGGUAUCAAGGGUCAGGCACCCCUCCUUUGUCUAGUUCUGCUGUGGACAGUCUGACAGCAAAAGCGAGGCGCUUUCAGGCCCCUCUCCCCUUCCGCUGGACGCAGCUCCAAAGAGGCCUUCCUUCAUUGGCAUCCAUUCUCAAAAGCAGACAUGGUGAUUUCGGCAGGGGUGUCACGCUCGCUCCUGACAGAUGGGCCUCCUCCGACAGCUGUCUUCUCCAAACAGAGAGCUGGACCCCCACGACUUCCCCAGCAUCCCUCCUCCUCCUCCCGCCUCCAGUGUCAGCCCAGGGAGGUUGUCUGGGACUGAGGAAGACAUGGCUUCCCUGAGCCAUGCCACCUGCUCUCGGUGAAAGGUCCACACGGCAACAGAAACCCGGCUCAGCAGCCUAUUGAUCAUCACCUAUAAAUCUAGCUACUCAUAAAAAGGUUCCAUGAAAUACAAUCCAGGGACAUAAAUCUCUCUAAGGGAGAUGAAAUCUGAUGGGAAAUAAAAUGCCCUCAUUUCAUUUA